ACGGGUGAGUAAUGUCUGGGGAUCUGCCCGAUAGAGGGGGAUAACCACUGGAAACGGUGGCUAAUACCGCAUAACGUCGCAAGACCAAAGAGGGGGACCUUCGGGCCUCUCACUAUCGGAUGAACCCAGAUGGGAUUAGCUAGUAGGCGGGGUAACGGCCCACCUAGGCGACGAUCCCUAGCUGGUCUGAGAGGAUGACCAGCCACACUGGAACUGAGACACGGUCCAGACUCCUACGGGAGGCAGCAGUGGGGAAUAUUGCACAAUGGGCGCAAGCCUGAUGCAGCCAUGCCGCGUGUAUGAAGAAGGCCUUCGGGUUGUAAAGUACUUUCAGCGGGGAGGAAGGCAGUGAGGUUAAUAACCUUACUGAUUGACGUUACCCGCAGAAGAAGCACCGGCUAACUCCGUGCCAGCAGCCGCGGUAAUACGGAGGGUGCAAGCGUUAAUCGGAAUUACUGGGCGUAAAGCGCACGCAGGCGGUCUGUUAAGUCAGAUGUGAAAUCCCCGGGCUUAACCUGGGAACCGCAUUUGAAACUGGCAGGCUUGAGUCUCGUAGAGGGGGGUAGAAUUCCAGGUGU
RNAcentral lists this ribosomal RNA (578 nucleotides) under uncultured bacterium. Its description in RNAcentral is "bacterial SSU rRNA". It matches the Rfam family "Bacterial small subunit ribosomal RNA", at positions 102 to 676 of the family's 1533-position model. The record is from RNAcentral.